AUGGUAGCCGCUACAGCUACAGAAAUGUUUCUUGUGUGCUUUGAAUCCUUGUGCCCCUGUUUUCGCUCGAAAAGGAAGGAUGGAAGUGAAGAUCCUGUUCUUGCAAAAGACGGAAAUUCCUUGAGUUCUUCUGAAAUGAGGUCAAUUUCUGACAGAAUUCCCUCGAGCCCUCUUCGGGUACCUGCAAGUCCAUCUAGAUUUUCAUUAUCUUCACCGCCAAGUAGAAAUGAUCCAUUGAACCUCAGUCUUGAAACGGUUAUUAAACUGACACGUAACUUUUCGCCGGCCUUGAUGAUUGGCGAAAGUUAUUUUGGAAAGGCCUACAGAAUGGACUUGCAAAAUGGCCUUAUUGUGGCUAUUAAAAGGGCAAGAAAGGAACAUUUUGCUUCUUUACACGCAGAAUUCAAAAAUGAAAUUGCACUACUAAAAAAAAUCGAACACAGGAAUCUGGUCCAGUUACUUGGAUAUAUUGACAAAGGGAAUGAAAGAAUUGUCAUAACCGAGUUCGUGGCAAAUGGCACUCUUAGGGAACAUUUGGAUGGACAACAUGGACUAAUAUUGGGCUUCGGUCAGCGGCUUGAAAUAGCCAUAGAUGUUGCCCAUGGAUUAACUUAUCUGCAUCUAUAUGCAGAGAAGCCCAUUAUACACCGGGAUGUGAAGUCAUCAAACAUUCUACUAACUGAAGGCUUCAGGGCAAAAGUAGCCGACUUCGGAUUUGCAAGAAUUGGUUCGACAGAUCCAGGCCAGUCAGAGAUUCAAACUGAUGUGAAAGGAACAGCUGGCUAUGUGGAUCCAGAGUAUCUGCGGACAAACUAUCUGACAGUCAAGAGUGAUGUGUUCUCUUACGGCAUCUUGCUCCUGGAAAUCCUAUCAGGUCGUCGUCCUAUUGAGGUGAACAGAGGAGGAAGAGAAAAGAUUACCGUGCGAUGGGCCUUUGAGAGAUAUAACAAAGGCAAUGUCCAGGAGAUACUGGAUCCAAUGUUGACCGAAACAGUAAACGAGGAUAUACUGAAUAAGAUUUUCGAUGUGAUGUUCCAAUGCGUCGCUCCUACCCGCGCUGACAGGCCACAUAUGAAAGAGGUUGUGGAGAAGCUCUGGAAGAUACGGAGGGACUACGCUAAAACCCAAAACAGAGCAGAAGGGUCUCUUUAA
RNAcentral lists this ribosomal RNA (1152 nucleotides) under Triticum aestivum (bread wheat). Its description in RNAcentral is "partial small subunit ribosomal RNA". The record is from RNAcentral. Lineage: Eukaryota; Viridiplantae; Streptophyta; Magnoliopsida; Poales; Poaceae.